Molecule: ribosomal RNA, 225 nt
Filed under: uncultured bacterium
Lineage: Bacteria
Description: partial 16S ribosomal RNA
Rfam family: Bacterial small subunit ribosomal RNA
Source: RNAcentral
CCUGCCCUUUAGACGGGGACAACAUUCCGAAAGGGAUGCUAAUACCGGAUGUGACGCUCCUAUCGCAUGACGGGAGCGUGAAAGAUGGCCUCUACAUGUAAGCUAUCGCUAAAGGAUGGGCCUGCGUCUGAUUAGCUAGUUGGUAGUGUAACGGACAACCAAGGCGAUGAUCAGUAGCCGGUCUGAGAGGGUGACCGGCCACAUUGGGACUGAGACACGGCCCAA